AGCUUGCUGGGGGGAUUAGUGGCGAACGGGUGAGUAACACGUGAGUAACCUGCCCUUAACUCUGGGAUAAGCCUGGGAAACUGGGUCUAAUACCGGAUAUGACUGAUCAUCGCAUGGUGGUUGGUGGAAAGCUUUUUGUGGUUUUGGAUGGACUCGCGGCCUAUCAGCUUGUUGGUGAGGUAAUGGCUUACCAAGGCGACGACGGGUAGCCGGCCUGAGAGGGUGACCGGCCACACUGGGACUGAGACACGGCCCAGACUCCUACGGGAGGCAGCAGUGGGGAAUAUUGCACAAUGGGCGCAAGCCUGAUGCAGCGACGCCGCGUGAGGGAUGACGGCCUUCGGGUUGUAAACCUCUUUCAGUAGGGAAGAAGCGAAAGUGACGGUACCUGCAGAAGAAGCGCCGGCUAACUACGUGCCAGCAGCCGCGGUAAUACGUAGGGCGCAAGCGUUAUCCGGAAUUAUUGGGCGUAAAGAGCUCGUAGGCGGUUUGUCGCGUCUGCCGUGAAAGUCCGGGGCUCAACUCCGGAUCUGCGGUGGGUACGGGCAGACUAGAGUGAUGUAGGGGAGACUGGAAUUCCUGGUGUAGCGGUGAAAUGCGCAGAUAUCAGGAGGAACACCGAUGGCGAAGGCAGGUCUCUGGGCAUUAACUGACGCUGAGGAGCGAAAGCAUGGGGAGCGAACAGGAUUAGAUACCCUGGUAGUCCAUGCCGUAAACGUUGGGCACUAGGUGUGGGGGACAUUCCACGUUUUCCGCGCCGUAGCUAACGCAUUAAGUGCCCCGCCUGGGGAGUACGGCCGCAAGGCUAAAACUCAAAGGAAUUGACGGGGGCCCGCACAAGCGGCGGAGCAUGCGGAUUAAUUCGAUGCAACGCGAAGAACCUUACCAAGGCUUGACAUGAACCGGAAAGACCUGGAAACAGGUGCCCCGCUUGCGGUCGGUUUACAGGUGGUGCAUGGUUGUCGUCAGCUCGUGUCGUGAGAUGUUGGGUUAAGUCCCGCAACGAGCGCAACCCUCGUUCUAUGUUGCCAGCACGUGAUGGUGGGGACUCAUAGGAGACUGCCGGGGUCAACUCGGAGGAAGGUGGGGACGACGUCAAAUCAUCAUGCCCCUUAUGUCUUGGGCUUCACGCAUGCUACAAUGGCCGGUACAAAGGGUUGCGAUACUGUGAGGUGGAGCUAAUCCCAAAAAGCCGGUCUCAGUUCGGAUUGGGGUCUGCAACUCGACCCCAUGAAGUCGGAGUCGCUAGUAAUCGCAGAUCAGCAACGCUGCGGUGAAUACGUUCCCGGGCCUUGUACACACCGCCCGUCAAGUCACGAAAGUUGGUAACACCCGAAGCCGCGU
RNAcentral lists this ribosomal RNA (1344 nucleotides) under Pseudarthrobacter siccitolerans. RNAcentral describes it as "bacterial SSU rRNA". It matches the Rfam family "Bacterial small subunit ribosomal RNA", at positions 77 to 1432 of the family's 1533-position model. The record is from RNAcentral. Lineage: Bacteria; Bacillati; Actinomycetota; Actinomycetes; Micrococcales; Micrococcaceae.